This 324-nucleotide ribosomal RNA is filed under the name Triticum aestivum (bread wheat). RNAcentral describes it as "partial small subunit ribosomal RNA". Lineage: Eukaryota; Viridiplantae; Streptophyta; Magnoliopsida; Poales; Poaceae. The record is from RNAcentral.
AUGAGAUUAGUGGGUCUGGCGGCGAUCGAAAGGGCAAGAUGAAGGCAGGCUUCUCGGGUACUCUGGCUGCGUGCGGGUGAUGCCAGCACGAAGUUCUUCCAUGCCAAGUGCUGCUCUAGAAGACGAAAAAACUUUAUCCACACCCUGCAGAGCGAGGACAGAGCUGCAACGACACACUCAGACAAAGCCCAGCUCAUCCAUGAUCACUUCAGUAAGGCUAUGGCAGCUGAUGGGAACCGGCGUGUUACGCUAAACUGGAGACGGUUAUGACUCCCGCGAGUCCAAGCGGCUGGUUUGGACAACCCGUUCUCUGAAGAAGAGGUG